This 19-nucleotide small nuclear RNA is filed under the name Arabidopsis thaliana (thale cress). Its description in RNAcentral is "snRNA_11769". Lineage: Eukaryota; Viridiplantae; Streptophyta; Magnoliopsida; Brassicales; Brassicaceae. The record is from RNAcentral.
AUUUCUCUUACUUCUCUUU